UACAGAGGGUGCAAGCGUUAAUCGGAAUAACUGGGCGUAAAGGGCGCGUAGGUGGAUAAGUGAGUGAGAUGUGAAAUACCCGAGCUUAACUUGGGGAGGUCAUCUCAAACGGCUUGUCUAGAGUAUGGGAGAGGGAAGUGGAAUUUCUGGUGUAGCGGUGAAAUGCGUAGAUAUCAGAAGGAACAUCCGUGGCGAAGCCGACUUCCUGGCCCAAUACUGACACUGAGGCGCGAAAGCGUCGGGAGCAAACAGG
This 253-nucleotide ribosomal RNA is filed under the name uncultured bacterium. Its description in RNAcentral is "partial 16S ribosomal RNA". It matches the Rfam family "Bacterial small subunit ribosomal RNA", at positions 524 to 776 of the family's 1533-position model. The record is from RNAcentral.